GAGUUUGAUCGUGGCUCAGAACGAACGUUAGCGGCGCGCCUAACACAUGCAAGUCGCACGAGAAAGGGCUUCGGCCCCGGUACAGUGGCGCACGGGUGAGUAACACGUAGAUAAUCUUCCCUCGAGUGGUGGAUAACUCUCCGAAAGGAGAGCUAAUACAGCAUGAGACCACGGCUUCGUUGAAGCUGCGGCCAAAGCAGGCCUCUACACGUAAGCUUGCGCUUGAGGAUGAGUCUGCGGCCCAUCAGCUAGUUGGUAGGGUAAUGGCCUACCAAGGCUAAGACGGGUAGCUGGUCUGAGAGGAUGAACAGCCACACUGGAACUGAGACACGGUCCAGACUCCUACGGGAGGCAGCAGUGGGGAAUCUUGCGCAAUGGGCGAAAGCCUGACGCAGCGACGCCGCGUGAGCGAUGAAGGCCUCGGUUGUAA
RNAcentral lists this ribosomal RNA (430 nucleotides) under uncultured delta proteobacterium. Its description in RNAcentral is "bacterial SSU rRNA". It matches the Rfam family "Bacterial small subunit ribosomal RNA", at positions 9 to 428 of the family's 1533-position model. Lineage: Bacteria; Deltaproteobacteria. The record is from RNAcentral.